UAAAAUUUUUUGUUUAUUUUUACAGGGCGAUUGAAUCCAUGCCACAAUUAAUACUUCAUCACUACAGCAAAUUAAGCCACUCCUCACAGAAGGACAUGUUUAUGCAAUCAAGGAUUUUGUUAUCACCAACAACACCAUGAAAUACAAAACCACAGAGUCACAAUAUAAGCUUUUAUUGUUCAAGCACACAAGAGUUGUAGAACUCGAUGAUGAUACAUUCCCAAAUCACACAUUCAACAUCAAUAAUUUUGGAGAAAUUUUUUCUAUUUCUGACGUCCAGAAUGUGGUCAUGUUUGGUAAAAACUUUUCAGCCAUUUUAUUUUAAUUAUUAUCAUCUUAUGAAUUUUAAUUUCAAAUUUAUAUUGUAGAUAUCAUGGGAAUCGUAGUUUCAAGUUAUCAGCCAAUAAUCAAAUAUUUCAAUGGACAGCAAACAAAGCUUAUGGAUAUCAUCAUAGAAGAUUUGGAGUAAUAUUUAUUAUACUUUCAAUUAUGUUAAUUGCAUAAAUAAAAUACCUCAAUAUAUGUGAAUGACUAACCUAAAUUGUAUUUAAUUGCAGGGGAAAGACUAUGACAUGCACACUUUGGGAACAGUAUGCAGAUAAAAUGCAUGAAUAUCUGUGCACAGAACCAAAAAUGCCAAUAUGUUUCAUAGUACAAUUCUGUCGCCCAUCUAUAUUCAGAGGUAGAAAGAAUAAAAAAAAUUAUUAUCAUUAUCUAUUAUCUAUUUGUGCUAAUACAUUUUGGUUUAUGAAACAGGUGAAGUUUGUAUAUCAAGUUCAUAUCAUGUGUCAAACAUACUUUUUGAUGAAAACAUUGUUGAAAUCAAUAAGAUGAAGGACAAGUAAGUAUUUUAAAAAAUAAAAAUUAAUUGCAUCGGCAUACAUUAUUGUUCACAUUAUUUCCAAUUGUAGUUUUAUCAAACUUCACAAGGAAAGAUCAAUCAAUCUCAAGUUAUUGGCAGCACCAACAAUUAGAACAAUUGAAGAUGAAAUAAAUAAAGGCAGUGCAAAAUUCAUGGCUAUUUCAGAGUUAACUGGUCAACAGGUUUAAUAUUACAUAAUUUUAUAUUUUUUAAUAUUAAAUUUUCGAAACAUUUAAAUAAUAUAUUUUCGUGUUUUUUAAGAGGGGAAUGUACUGGAUAUAUGGCACAAUAUGUUCUGUAUCAACGCUUCGAGCUUGGGCUUACUUAGCAUGCAACAUAUGCCUAAAAAAACUGAAAGCAAAUGAUGAUAAAUUUUUUUGUGACAACUGUGCAAGCUUUGAUGUUUCAGGAAAAAUGAGGUAUAGACUAAGAGUAUAUGUUGCUGAUAAUUCUGGAGGUGUUUCUUUAAGCUUAUGGGAUAGAGAGUGCUUACAACUAAUUGGGAAACUUGCUGAAGAAAUAAUAUAUGUAAGUGAAUGCAAAAUAAAAUUAUAAAUAAAAUUAUGGAGAUAAUUCUAAAGUUAUUAAUUUAAAUUAAAAAAUUUGCAGGAUCCUAAUAGCAAUGAGUUGCCAAUUGAGAUAGAUGCUAUCACCAACAAAAAUGCUCUAUUUAAAAUUAAAGUGGAAGAAUCAACGAUUUUUGAUGGAGCAUAUGUUGUGACAAAAAUCAACUGCGACCCAAAUAUUUUAAAUAAAUAUUGUGGGUCAAUAGUUGAAAGUGAGACCAAGGAAACUCAAUUGAAAGACAAAGAAAUUGAAAACAUUAAGGUUCAAAAUGAUGGUGGGAGUAGCAGCUUUACCAAUGUACAUGAAUCAGUGAACAUCAAUGACAAUGAGGCAACAAAUAGACAACUCGAAGAAGAAACAUCAACUGACCCAAAACUCAUGAAUAAAAUAGGGAAGAGAGUUGUGAUCAAGAAGGAGAAGCCCUAAAGUAGCAUUUAUUUUUAUGAUGUUUUAGUAAUUAGUACUUUACGAUUUGCACUUUCAAAUUUCGUACUUUAGAAUUGUAAUUUUAAAUUUCGUUUUUAGGAUUUCAGUUUCAAAUUUAGUUGUUUAGGAUUUCAACUUUCAAAUGUCAACUUAUUAAUGUUAGUAUUUCAUAUUUCAGAAUCAUUUUAUUA
This is a long non-coding RNA of Salvia miltiorrhiza (redroot sage), 2046 nucleotides long. RefSeq lists it as uncharacterized. The record is from RefSeq and is a predicted model, not a curated record. Lineage: Eukaryota; Viridiplantae; Streptophyta; Magnoliopsida; Lamiales; Lamiaceae. The transcript is spliced from 3 exons.